Molecule: ribosomal RNA, 497 nt
Filed under: uncultured bacterium
Lineage: Bacteria
Description: partial 16S ribosomal RNA
Rfam family: Bacterial small subunit ribosomal RNA
Source: RNAcentral
GAUGAACGCUGGCGGCGUGCCUAAUACAUGCAAGUCGAGCGAACGGACGAGAAGCUUGCUUCUCUGAUGUUAGCGGCGGACGGGUGAGUAACACGUGGAUAACCUACCUAUAAGACUGGGAUAACUUCGGGAAACCGGAGCUAAUACCGGAUAAUAUUUUGAACCGCAUGGUUCAAAAGUGAAAGACGGUCUUGCUGUCACUUAUAGAUGGAUCCGCGCUGCAUUAGCUAGUUGGUAAGGUAACGGCUUACCAAGGCAACGAUGCAUAGCCGACCUGAGAGGGUGAUCGGCCGCACUGGAACUGAGACACGGUCCAGACUACUACGGGAGGCAGCAGUAGGGAAUCUUCCGCAAUGGGCGAAAGCCUGACGGAGCAACGCCGCGUGAGUGAUGAAGGUCUUCGGAUCGUAAAACUCUGUUAUUAGGGAAGAACAUAUGUGUAAGUAACUGUGCACAUCUUGACGGUACCUAAUCAGAAAGCCACGGCUAACUACGUG